RNAcentral lists this transfer RNA (77 nucleotides) under Nitrospirota bacterium. RNAcentral's name for it is "Nitrospirae bacterium tRNA-His". It matches the Rfam family "tRNA". Rfam says of the family: Transfer RNA (tRNA) molecules are approximately 80 nucleotides in length. Their secondary structure includes four short double-helical elements and three loops (D, anti-codon, and T loops). Further hydrogen bonds mediate the characteristic L-shaped molecular structure. tRNAs have two regions of fundamental functional importance: the anti-codon, which is responsible for specific mRNA codon recognition, and the 3' end, to which the tRNAs corresponding amino acid is attached (by aminoacyl-tRNA synthetases). tRNAs cope with the degeneracy of the genetic code in two manners: having more than one tRNA (with a specific anti-codon) for a particular amino acid; and 'wobble' base-pairing, i.e. permitting non-standard base-pairing at the 3rd anti-codon position. Lineage: Bacteria; Pseudomonadati; Nitrospirota. The record is from RNAcentral.
GUGGGUGUAGCUCAGCUGGUUAGAGCGCCGGAUUGUGGUUCCGGAGGUCGCGGGUUCGAAACACGUCACUCACCCCA